This 445-nucleotide ribosomal RNA is filed under the name uncultured bacterium. RNAcentral describes it as "partial 16S ribosomal RNA". It matches the Rfam family "Bacterial small subunit ribosomal RNA", at positions 338 to 795 of the family's 1533-position model. The record is from RNAcentral.
CCUACGGGCGGCUGCAGUGGGGAAUUUUGGACAAUGGGGGCAACCCUGAUCCAGCCAUUCCGCGUGAGUGAAGAAGGCCUUCGGGUUGUAAAGCUCUUUUGUCCGGAGCGAAACGGUCGGCCCUAAUACGGUCGUCUACUGACGGUACCGGAAGAAUAAGCACCGGCUAACUACGUGCCAGCAGCCGCGGUAAUACGUAGUUAGCGAGCGUUAAUCGGACUUACUGGGCGUAAUACGUCAGAAGUGGAAUCCCCGGGCUCAACCUGGGAAUGGCAUUUGGGACUGCAAGGCUGGAGUGUGGCAGAGGGGACUAGAAUUCCUGGUGUAGCAGUGAAAUGCGUAGAUAUCAGGAGGAAUACCGAUGGCGAAGGCAGGUCCCUGGGUUAACACUGACGCUCAUGCACGAAAGCGUGGGGAGCAAACAGGAUUAGAUACCCGAGUAGUC